This 261-nucleotide unclassified non-coding RNA is filed under the name plant metagenome. RNAcentral describes it as "partial contains small subunit ribosomal RNA and internal transcribed spacer 1". The stretch from base 1 to 46 matches the Rfam family "Eukaryotic small subunit ribosomal RNA", at positions 1786 to 1831 of the family's 1831-position model. The record is from RNAcentral.
AAGUCGUAACAAGGUUUCCGUAGGUGAACCUGCGGAAGGAUCAUUAAUGAAUUAUGAAAGGGUUGUUGCUGACUGUUAGCAGCAUGUGCACGCUCUGAUCAUUAUCCAUCUUACACACCUGUGCACACACUGUAAGUCGGCUUUUGAUGCAAAGUAAGGGUCUUCAUUGACUCUGCUUUAAAUUGGGAGCCUGCUUAUGUUUUAUCACACACUACUUCAGUUUAAAGAAUGUCAAAUCGCGUUUAACGCAUUUAAAUACAA